RNAcentral lists this unclassified non-coding RNA (1401 nucleotides) under Leishmania donovani. RNAcentral's name for it is "gene:unknown". Lineage: Eukaryota; Euglenozoa; Kinetoplastea; Trypanosomatida; Trypanosomatidae. The record is from RNAcentral.
GCACCUUCCGCUUCUUGUCUUCGCCUGGGGGUUUGCCUAGUGCGGCUGAGCUCGAGCUACAGUGCAACCAUUGCAGCACAUAGGCGAGAAAGAGGAGACGCACAUUCUCCUGUUAGCGCAACAGAGAGUAAGACAACAUCACGCCACACGCAUGCAGUCCAAGCCUCCAGGUGCAGAGCGAGGCACAGUCAUUUUUUUCGCUGUGGCAGCGCUUUUAGCAUCAGAAGCCUGGGAAAAGGAGCAGAAGGAUUAUCUGCUUGCCUUUGUCAUCAUUGAUCUCCCCGCCCCUGACUCUCCUCACCGGGAGCACGUGAGCCGGCGGCUAGCCGUCCCCGAAUUUCGUCUUGUCGCGGAUACUGCAGUGCCUGUCCUGAUUUUUUCCGGUUUCUUUGCACACGCCACCGCUCCUAUCGCGUCUAUUCAUUUUCCCCCUUCUUUUUCUACUCAUUCGCCCUGCAGUCCGGCAUCCGUGUGUUGCUUGAAAGUUGUUUUGCGUCUGUCUGCAUUCCCUGCGUGGUUGUCUGAGAGUGCGGGUGUGCGCAUGUACAACCUUCGGCCCUGAGCCGUGAGACCAUUCAAGCCACCUCGCCAAGGCCCAGAGCAUUUAUCAGCUUGUCUGCCUUCUGUUGCCUCGUUUCUUCUGUUCUGUUUUCGGUUCUCCCCUUCCGCCACCAAGAGGGACACGCCCUCUCCCCUCAUUUUCUGCUCGUACUCUCCCUGUCACUUGUACCCUUCGGUGCGCGCACGGUGCGCUGGUGGAUAUCCUCUCACUGUGCGGCUUUUUCGUUUUUCGUAACGGUCUGAGCUCGUCCCUCACACCUCCCAUUCACUCCUUCCUCCCGUUGCUUGUUCUUCUUAUCGUCACGCGUUAGUGGUCUGAGCACAGGCGCCCAUCGCGCUGUCGCAUAAUAUCGCGUUGGUGGGCUGCUUAUGGGUGAUUGUUUAGUGUUUUGGGGUCUCUCGCUUCUUCCUUUUCUUUUCUCCACUACUCCUCGUGCGUCGUUGGGAGCGUCAUCCCGGGCGUGCCACUGAUAGCCCUACAAAACCGCGCCACCCUAUCCCUAAGAGCCAGGAAAGUACGCCGCCAGGCCACAGACGUCUCGUCUGUGGCGCUGCUACUUCUUGCUGUCUCAGCUUUAAGCUGAGCCUGUAUGCUCUUGAGCACAGAAGCAAGCGGGAAAGCACAGCGAGCCAGAGCCUGCCGUUCGCUUCGCCGAACUCUCCGUGUGCACGUGUGCGUGUGCGCCUGGGAGCUCUCAACGUCGUGCGAACAUCGUGCGUGCUUUUACUUUCUUUGUUUUUUUUUUUGCUUGGCGCCGGCGGUCCGGGCUUCCCAUCGCCUCCCUCCUCCCCUUCCCUCCUACCACGUGCCCGGCCCCUCCGCACCCGAACAUCUCUCAG